This 406-nucleotide ribosomal RNA is filed under the name uncultured bacterium. RNAcentral describes it as "partial 16S ribosomal RNA". It matches the Rfam family "Bacterial small subunit ribosomal RNA", at positions 30 to 526 of the family's 1533-position model. The record is from RNAcentral.
AUUGAACGCUGGCGGCAGGCCUAACACAUGCAAGUCGAACGAGUGGCGGACGGGUUAGUAAUGUUUGGGAAACUGGCUUAUGGAGGGGGAUAACUACUGGAAACGGUAGCUAAUACCGCAUACCAUCGGAUGAGCCCAGGUGGGAUUAGGUAGUUGGUGGGGUAAAGGCUCACCAAGGCGACGAUCCCUAGCUGGUCUGAGAGGAUGACCAGCCACACUGUGACUGAGACACGGCCCAGACUCCUACGGGAGGCAGCAGUGGGGAAUAUUGCGCAAGUGGCACAACCCUGACGCAGCAAUGCCGCGUGAAUGAAGAAGGCCUUCGGGUUGUAAAGUUCUUUCAGUAGCGAGGCGUUAACCGCAGAAGAAGCACCGGCUAACUCCGUGCCAGCAGCCGCGGUAAUAC